AAGAGAGAUGCAGUGGGGAAGUGCUGGUGGAAUAAUCUUCAGUUUUAGAAGCUGUCCAUGACUGUUACACUCACAACAGGAGUGGAAGGUUCUAUAUGGAAAGGAUACUGAGAAUGGUUGAAUUUAUUGGCAUAUGUGCACAAGUACACCACCCCGCAUAAAUCUACAAAUUGUUUGAAACUUCUGUUUUAGUUCUGCCUCCAUACAUCUGACAAAUAAACAGCCAAAUUGAGUAACUA
Molecule: long non-coding RNA, 239 nt
Organism: Suricata suricatta (meerkat)
Lineage: Eukaryota; Metazoa; Chordata; Mammalia; Carnivora; Herpestidae
Exons: 2
Source: RefSeq, a predicted model, not a curated record